Molecule: transfer RNA, 60 nt
Filed under: Naegleria gruberi
Lineage: Eukaryota; Heterolobosea; Eutetramitea; Acrasida; Naegleriidae
Rfam family: tRNA
About the family: Transfer RNA (tRNA) molecules are approximately 80 nucleotides in length. Their secondary structure includes four short double-helical elements and three loops (D, anti-codon, and T loops).
Source: Rfam by way of RNAcentral
UCCCGUGUAGGAUACCUGGCUUUCACCCAGGAGGUCCGGGUUCAAUUCCCGGCAUGGGAG